Molecule: RNA transcript, 5233 nt
Organism: Ipomoea triloba (trilobed morning glory)
Lineage: Eukaryota; Viridiplantae; Streptophyta; Magnoliopsida; Solanales; Convolvulaceae
Exons: 12
Source: RefSeq, a predicted model, not a curated record
CACAAUUUCAACUUUCUCCCCUCUCUGCAAAAUCCAUCUUAAUUACCUCUUCCAUCACUGCCUAUGGCGGCUUUUGGUGCUGUGACCAUUUUAAUGGACACACUCCAUCGAAACUUCCUCCAAUCUACACCUCUUUUCCCUCUUCGCAACAAAACAAAGGUCUCUUCUCUUUACAGCAAUCUCUCUUCUUUGCAAACCUCUCUUGAAGAAGAUUUCUGUAUCAGGGUGGGGGAGUACGAUGAGGCAAUGAAAGGGUUAGAGGCACAACUGAGAGAUGUGUCGGUUGAACUAAGGUUCCAAAUAGAACACCAAUUGAGAUUGUUUUACCUGGGGAAAUCCAUGAAGCUUAGGCUUCACUCUGCUCAAAAGCUUCUUCCCAUUUUGAAAGAAGCAAUUAAAGGCGGCAUAGAAACUAUGGAUUUCAAUUCUGUGAUGGAGAUCCUGGGGAAGCACUUCACUCUGCCGGUAUCAGGCAUGCCGCCUCAUAUAUACAAAAGGGUCAAAUCUUUUUGCAGGCAGCAUCAAUUCUUUCUCUAUGGAAAACAAGAGAGUAAGGAUGAUGAGCAAGCCAGUGAUGAUGAUGAUGAAGAAGAGAGCAAGAAUGGAGAACAGAUUGAUGAUGAAGAAGAGAGCAAGAAUGGACAACAGAUUGAUGAUGAACAAGAGAGCAAGAAUGGGGAACAGAUUGAUGAUGAACAAGAGAGCAGGAAUGGAGAACAGAUUGAUGAUGAACAAGAGAGCAAGAAUGGACAACAGAUUGAUGACGAGGAAUGCCGGCUCCUGGUGAACAUCGUAAUACGGUACUUCAUAGGGUCCGUAUGGCGCGUGUCGUCUCAAAUAAAGAAAAAGGUGAAAUCUUGUUUCAGGCGGGAAAGGAAAAUCGAUGAGGUAGAGAUAAGGAGGUAUAUGUUGUUGUAUGAAGCAGAAAGUGUAAUCAGACAAGAAGUGAGAGCCUCUUAUCUCAAUAAAUACAUGAAACAACGGAUACAGGCUACACAAAGGAUUCGUCAACUCUUCAUCCAAGGAAUUAGCCUCACAUCUUCCAUCAACAAACAGAUGUUGAAGGUUAAGAAUGCAUACCACCAAUCCAACAACAACAAUCCUGCUUCUCUAAGAGGGCUGGAACUCGAUACCAUUACGGUUGGUGAUUCAAAGUCUACAAUCAAAAUGGUGGGCUGCGAUGAUGUGUUCAACACCAUAAUGGACAACUUGAGGCAGCAUUCCUCAAAACGAGAAAUUGUCUCGACUGUGGGAAUGGGUGGUAUCGGUAAAACCACCUUAGCUAGAAAGAUUUAUGAAGAUGCUUCAAUCAUUUCUUACUUCGAUUGUCGAGCUUGGGUUACUAUCUCACAGGAUUAUAAUCGAACACAAGUGUUCCAAUGCCUGCUUCGUUCUCUUGACCCUGCAGAGGCCAGCCACAACAAUACAGGUUUGGCUGAGAAAGUAUACAAGUCUAUAAAAGAUCAAAGGUAUUUGAUUGUAGUAGAUGAUAUUUGGAGUACAAAUGUCUGGGAUGAUUUAAUGAGGUGUUUUCCGGAUGACAAUAUUGGAAGUCGAAUAUUGUUGACCACUCGACACAAAAAUGUGGCUGAGUAUGCUGAUUCAGGUAAUCAUUUUUGCCAUACCUUACCUUUUUUGGAUUCAAAUGAAAGUUGGGAUCUUUUUCAGAGUAAGGUGUGUAAAAGAUCAAUAACUCUACUGUCUCCUGAAUUUGAAAAAAUUGGUAGAGAGAUAGUAGACAAGUGCAAAGGAUUACCUCUUGCAAUUACUGUGGCCGCUGGAUUCCUCUCAAACUCCAACCAAACCUUUAUUCAUGAAUGGGAGCAUAUUGCAAAAUGUGUCCUUGCUUUGAGUUUAGAUCAUUCUAAUCAGCAGGGUGAGAAGAUCAUUGAAUUGAGUUACACCUUCUUGCCUCAUCAUCUUAAACUUUGUUUUUUGUCAUUUGGGUGUUUUCCAGAAGACUGUAAGAUUUAUGAAAGUAAGAUUGUUAAUUUUUGGAUUUCAGAGGGAUUUCUAAAAGUUUUGAGGUCUAAGAGCUUGGAAGAUGUAGCAAGAAAAAAUUUACAAGUUCUUGUGGAUAGAAAUCUUGUUCUAAGUUAUGGAGAUGGAGAUGAUAUAGAAUUCUAUCAAAUGCAUGAUGUCUUGCGUGAAUUGGCUUUGAGAGAAGCCCAAAAAGAAAAUCUUUUAUGUUUCAAGAAGGGUUAUGUUAUAAGUUUGAGAUGGAAGAGAAAUGAAUCAAUAAAGUCUUCCCAUAUAUCUCAACCAUGGAGUAUCCAAUCAAGAAUUUGCAGUUACAACAGUAUAACUCCUACUACCAACACUUCUUCACUGAUUGAUAAUUUGUACUGGACUUCAAGACAGGUGGGGGUGCAUGCACAUUUUAAGUUUUUAAGGGCAUUGGAAGUAGUCAGUGAGAUGAUAAAUGUCCAUAAUAUUUUUUUGGAGAUUGUGGGUCUAGUGCAUCUGAGAUUGUUAAGUAUUCGUUGUGGGUUGAAUAUUCGUUGUCUGCCUUUGUUCAUGUUGCGUAAUCUACAGAAACUAGAAGUUAUUUGUGAUUAUUUAUCAUGUGAACCCCUUGAUAUUUGGGGAUUACCUCAAUUGAAGAAUAUCACAAUUUGGGGCAUUACACUACUUCCUCCAAGAUCGGUUCAUUAUAAUUUGGAGAGCAUUUAUAGUUUGGAUUAUAGGAGUUGUACAAAGGAGUUGUUCCUGAGGAUCCCAAAUCUAAGGGAAUUGAAUGUUACUACUAAUUAUAAAAUUAAAUACAAAGCUCCCAAUUGGUCUGAAAGUCUUGUCUAUUUAUAUAAAGUGGAAGCACUAGUGGUUAAGGCCGAACUUGGGGAGUUUAGUACUAUUUAUUCUAUGAAGAUGCUAAGCCUAGAGAAUUUUUUGCCAAAUCUUAAGGAGUUAAAUUUGUCUAAUACAAAUUUAAAAUGGAAGGAUAUGGAUGUUGUUGGUAAGUUGUCUAAGCUUGUGGACCUCAGAUUGCAAGAUGUUAAGGAUCAAAUAUGGAAACCUAAAGAUGGAGGAUUUCGUCGAUUAAGGUUCUUGGAGAUAUUUUCGAGUCCUCUACAAUAUUGGGAAGCCACUAGUAAUCAUUUUCCAGUCCUUGAAAAGCUAGUCCUUGGUGAUAUAAAGUUGAAAGAAAUUCCUAGUGAUUUUGCAGGAAUAACUACUCUAAAACAAUCAAGUUAUGUUAUGGUUAUUUAGAGUCACUUAUAUCAUCUGCUAAGCGUAUUCAAAAAGAGCAACAAGAGUAUGGAAACGACACAGUUGUUAUUUAAAUUUCCGGAUGGCGGUAGCUAGGUUGCCCAGAGGUUGGCAAUUAGUGAAGAAAAUGCCAAAAAUUCACAUUAGCUACUGCUUUACAUUAUGCUUCCAUGACGUCAAUUCUAAUGGGAUCUACAUCUCAUUACCACACACAACAGCCUUUGCCAUCAUUGAAUUGAAUUGAAGCGCUAAUUGGGGUUAUCUGUUCAUAAGUUCCAUGAAGAUGAGAUAGAUGCAGCCAACGCACCACACAUCUACUAUACAGCAGCAAUCUGAAGCCUUCAACAGAGCAGAAGCUCCAUCGGUCCGCCCCCUGCUGGAGAUUUUGAGUUGAUAAGUUGCGGAAUGAAAUAAAUUGAGAGUAUUUUGUACGUGCAUUGAAGAAUUUGGGUCGACGCUAACGCUGGCAUGAGGGCAAAUCAAGAUUCAAUGACGGAAGCAUCAAGAAUUUCUAGUGAUUUUGCAAAUAUAGUUACUCUCAAAUCAAUCAAGUUUUUGGUAUAAGAGAGAAAGAGAUAGUGAUAAAGUCAAAAGUUGAAAACAAUUAUGACCAUGGUGAGGAAUUGGGUACUAGAGUACUAGAGUACGAACCAAUUGGCUCGUGAGCAAGUAUACAGGCUUCUAAAACAUCGAAGGUAUUUGAUCGUAGUAGAUGAUAUUUGGAGUAAAGAUGUUUGAGAUGAUUUAAUGAGAUGUUUUCCGGAUGACAAUAUUGGAAGUCGAAUAUUGUUGACCACUUGGCAAAAAAAUGUGGCCGAGUAUGCUGGGCAAAAAAAUGUGGCCGAGUAUGCUGAUUCAGAACUAGCUGAGAUUGUCUGUUCAUAAGUUCCAUGAAGAUAAGAUGAGAUGAGAUGAGAUAGAUGCAACCAACACACCACACAUCUACUAUACAACAGCACUGUAAUCUGAAGCCUUCAACAGAGCCGAAGCUCGGUCCCCUGCUGGAGGUUUUGAGUUGAUAAGUUGCGGUCUUGCGGAAUGGAGUAAAUUAAGAGUAUUUUGUACGUACAUUGAAGAAUUCGGGUUGACACUAAUGCUGGCAUGAAGGCAAAUCAAUAUUCAAUGACGGAAGCAUCAAGGAUUUCUAGUGGUUUUGCAAAUAUAUUUACUCUAAAAUCAAUCAAGUUUUUGGUAUAAGAGAGACAACAUUAGUUGCUUCUGGUGAUUCAUGUUUGUUCGAGAAUAAUAUAUGUUUUUGAUCCUAUGGAAUGUGACCGGAAUAUAGAACUCAAACAUGCGGUGAAUAUGGCAUUUCGAUCAUAUAUGAAUCAGUGGGGGCAAAGAGUGAAAAAUCUUUCUCAAUGGAAGCAUGUUAAGGUGUUUCAAGACACUAUGACAUAUUUCAUGGGGAUGUUAAGUCUAGAGAACUUUUGGCCAAAUCUCAAGGAGUCAAAAUUCUCUAAUACAAAUUUAAAAUGGAAGGAUAUGGAUGUUGUUGGAUCACUAAUUAUUUUUCGGAGUAAGGAUCACUAAUUAUUUUCCGGAAUAGGGUGGGCAAGCGGGUGGGGCUACUUGGAGUGCAUGCUUUGAAAGCUACGGAUUGAGGAUUGGGUGAGGUUGAUUACGGUGUUUUUAUCUUCAAUGGUAAGGGAAGUGAAGAAAAGGGAUAUUUUUAGAUGAUUUGCAGCACUAAGGAGCCCUUUCUGAGAUGAUCGAGAUUCAAGAGCAUCAUUGAAUAAUCAAGAAGAAGGAUCGCGUUCAAGAGCCAAGACAAGUGAUGUCUCUAUUUGAUGAUGUCACACUAACGUUGACAUUCCUGUGUAGGGCCCGUUCCUAGCCCAAUUUUCUCACAUUUUUCUUGCAGUUAGGAUGUGGUUACCCUUAAUCCAUUCCCCUUUUUACCUUCAUUAUUGUUAGCUUCAUAUUUAGUUUUUUUUUUAUUUAUUAAUGUUGUUUGAUUUAUGAUUCGCUUUUUCGAUAUCCUAUCUAUGAAUUAGUUGCUUGGAUUCUCAAAGAUCCAAUA